This is a non-coding RNA of Mycena galericulata, 95 nucleotides long. The record is from the annotation of a GenBank genome assembly. NCBI's taxonomy places the organism in Eukaryota, Fungi, Basidiomycota, Agaricomycetes, Agaricales, Mycenaceae.
UCGGACGUGGUGCGCGGCGCACGCCUGCCCCUUUAUAACGAGGCAAAGAAGUUCUAGACGGCAGGAAACCCCGGGUUCGACUCCCGGCGUCUGGA